RNAcentral lists this small RNA (111 nucleotides) under Marmota monax (woodchuck). The record is from RNAcentral. Lineage: Eukaryota; Metazoa; Chordata; Mammalia; Rodentia; Sciuridae.
GCCAGGCACUGUGGUGCAUGCCUGUAAUCCCAGCAGUUUAGGAGGUUGAGGCAGGAGGAUCAUGAGUUCAAAGCCACCCUCAGUAAUUUAGCAAGUGAGACCCUGUCUCCA